Loxodonta africana (African savanna elephant) is the source of this 382-nucleotide long non-coding RNA. RefSeq lists it as uncharacterized. The record is from RefSeq and is a predicted model, not a curated record. NCBI's taxonomy places the organism in Eukaryota, Metazoa, Chordata, Mammalia, Proboscidea, Elephantidae. The transcript has 2 exons.
CAUUUGAAAACCAACCCAUUGAUGUCAAAAGCGACCCUAUAGGACAGAGUAGAACUGCCCCGUAGAGUUUCUAAGCAGCUGCUGAUGGAUUCGAACUGCCACCUUUUUUUGGUUAGAGCCGAGCUCUUAAUCAGGACCUUCCCUAUGUGGCCUGUCCCAGAAGAGGAUUAUACCCUAAUGUCAUCAAGGUUAUCCAGAUGACUUGUUUUGGUCAAUGAAAUGUGAAUAGAAGUGGCAUUAGCGAUCUCAUGAUUCUGUCUUUUUUUCCUCUGCUGUGGGAACUGCGUGUCCCAAAUAAAGCUGCUUUUUUUCACAGAGUGAAGAUGUAGUGCAAGCUGUAAUGUCAUAUGAGUAAGAAAUAAACCUUUGUUGUUGUAAGCCA